RNAcentral lists this ribosomal RNA (494 nucleotides) under uncultured bacterium. RNAcentral's name for it is "partial 16S ribosomal RNA". It matches the Rfam family "Bacterial small subunit ribosomal RNA", at positions 28 to 507 of the family's 1533-position model. The record is from RNAcentral.
GACGAACGCUGGCGGCGCGCUUAACACAUGCAAGUCGAACGGAAAGGCCUGCUUUCCCUUGUGGAUUGCGGGUACUCGAGUGGCGAACGGGUGAGUAACACGUGAGUGAUCUGCCCCCAACUUGGGUAUAGGCCCGGGAAACUGGGUCUAAUUCCCGAUAGGACUGCAGGGUGGUGCCUGUGGUGGAAAACGAUUUUCUAGUGGUUGGGGAUGAGCUCGCGGCCUAUCAGCUUGUUGGUGGGGUAAUGGCCUACCAAGGCGGCGACGGGUAGCCGGCCUGAGAGGGUGGACGGCCACAUUGGGACUGGGAUACGGCCCAGACUCCUACGGGAGGCAGCAGUGGGGAAUAUUGCACAAUGGGCGGAAGCCUGAUGCAGCGACGCCGCGUGGGGGAUGACGGCCUUCGGGUUGUAAACUCCUUUCGACCGCGAGGAAGCCACCUGGUUGGAAGGGUGGUGACGGUAGUGGUAGAAGAAGCACCGGCUAACUACGUG